AAAAAAACAAUGCACAGGAUCUGCAUAAAACCAGUGCUUUGCUCUGAGCACAGUGCGAUUUUCAUGGUUGCUGAAAGUGAUGCUUCUUGUGUUCCGAAGUCAGGUGUUGCUCCAGCAAACUAAUCUAAGAUAGGAUCUAAUUCAAAUGGAAGGAAGAAAGAUAGACUACUGAAUCAAACCUCAAAUUCAUGAAAAACCAUAUCUCUAGUGGCCAACGGGAGCAAGGGUGUGAGUCUGUGCUGGAUGAUAUUACCAUCUCUUCAAAGUUAAGUAUUUUCUUUCCAGGUAAGUGUUUGUGAUUCUUCAAGAUAAGAAUGAAAUUGGAAAGGCCUCUUAUAUAAGAACACAGCCAAGGAAAAUGCUGUCAGCCAUAUAUUACAACUGUGU
Molecule: long non-coding RNA, 387 nt
Organism: Mastomys coucha (southern multimammate mouse)
Lineage: Eukaryota; Metazoa; Chordata; Mammalia; Rodentia; Muridae
Exons: 2
Source: RefSeq, a predicted model, not a curated record